GGAUGUGAGGGCGAUCUGGCUGCGACAUCUGUCAACCCAUUGAUCGCUCAGGGUUGAUUCGGCUGAUCUGCUGGCUAGGCGGGUGUCCCCUUCCCCCUCACCGCUCCAUGUGCGUCCCUCUCUGCGCUCGGUCGAAGAGGACGACAUCCCGAUAGAGGGACCGUUCUUCGGUCAAGGGUAUACGAGUAGCUGCGCUCCCCUGCUAGAACCUCCAAACAAGCUCUCAUCUCUAAUUUUGAAAAUUUGAAUCUUCCCUUUUUUUGGUUAGUUUGUCUAAGGGUUUGCCAAUCUUG
RNAcentral lists this small RNA (293 nucleotides) under Castor canadensis (American beaver). Its description in RNAcentral is "7SK RNA (ENSCCNG00000012036.1)". It matches the Rfam family "7SK RNA". Rfam says of the family: 7SK was discovered as an abundant small nuclear RNA in the mid-70s but a possible function has only recently been suggested. Two independent studies have found that 7SK RNA binds the CDK9/cyclin T complex (known as elongation factor P-TEFb). The record is from Rfam by way of RNAcentral. Lineage: Eukaryota; Metazoa; Chordata; Mammalia; Rodentia; Castoridae.